GAAAUAUUCAUUAAUAAGGAAUCUAGUUAAAAAUCUAGAGCUGACGCGCAGCGGUGAUAAGUUCUAUCUAUUUAUUAAGACACUGAAUGUUUUUGGGAAGUCAAAUAGAUGCAAUGCUUUAAGCCCGAAGACUUGCCUAAAGAAUUA
RNAcentral lists this non-coding RNA (147 nucleotides) under human gut metagenome. The record is from RNAcentral. RNAcentral also lists the same sequence under 1 other name.